AGACCAUGAUUUACACAUAAGUAAAUAUUUAUAAGCUUAAUCCAGGAAAAAACAACAGAGGCCGUCUUUUUAAUGUCUGAAGAGAAAGAAGAAGGUAAAUUGACAAAAGACCGCGCUAGAACUAUAUGUAACUAACACCUCUCCUUAUACUCCCAUAGUCACAAAAGAAUUGAUCUUUUAACUUGCUACUUCCAUGAACAUAUUUCUUGGCGCAAAGCCUUGGGCACCUACUGAUCUCAGAAGGAGUAUUGCCUAUGCCUCAAGUUCAGACCAGCUACGUCCAGCACUGUUUGAUUAUACAUGAAUUGUCACCUCAUCAAAUCUUUCGGACACAAUAAUAGCCACAUUUUCUUUGCACCUGUCUUACAACCUACCUGGUCUCCUGAACUGCCAAAAUCCACACAUGCCAAGAAUUAAUCAUUCAAAUCUGCAAACCAACAACCUUCAUACCAUGCGAAAAGGUAAAAACUGUUUAUAUAACUUCUGGCUUUGACAAAUCUGCAAACUAAAAGACUUAGCAGAAAGGUAACAACUGUUUAUCUAAGUUGUGGUUUUGCCAAAGGCAUCCCAUGAUACCAUAGCUCAAUGACGAAUUAGAGUCAUGCACAUAUGGAACCCCUCAUAGUUCAUACAUCUGUUGUUACCAAACAAAAGAAUUUGACAUGAAGUUAAUGAAAGAAAAGAAUAAGAAUUUAAACUGUUCUAGCAAGACUUUUAGAGAUGGAUUACAUUCAAACAUGCAAGUAGCCCUUAAUUAUUUAUGCAUGUAUAGAUAUUGAGGUAAAACACUUUAUCGUCAGAUGGAGAAGAAUUAUUGCGUACAGCAAGACGGUGUCAUGCAGAAGUGAACAAGUAACAGAAAAGAAUAAAAGGAAGGAUCAAUCUAAAAUUUGCUAAUGAUAUUAAAUCAAUUCAAAAUCUAUAUACGCCAAAAAACCUCUCAUACGCAUAUUCCACAAAAGUCUAUACCAUGUUGUAGAACAAAUCAAAAGUAUAAUCUGUAACUCAAGUUCAUCAGCUACCAAUUGCACAAAUAGCUCCAGAAAAAGAUAAUCCGUUUCAAAAUUUGAGGGUGCUUAAAGGCAUGGAAAGAUAGUAAUUUCAAAUCCAAACUUCAAUAGAUGGGAGUUGGAAAGUUCAAAUACCACCGUUAUUAGGAACCCAACUGCAUCAUACAAUAGAGUAAAAGAAAAACAAGAAGAAAAGAACAUGAAAAAAAAAAAAAAAAGGAAGAUAUCUGAAAACAAGAAGUCAAAAAAUUGAAGAAAUAAAUAACAAAAAGGCAAUCAAGUAUGUAAAACUGCUGACAAUUGUAGCAGCUUCCUUUCAAAACUAAAAGAAAGUAUACAGCUUAACUCUCUUACAGGAAUACAGGUCUCGUAUCCGUUCAAAACACGAAAUACCUAACAACUCAAAAGCUUCAAAACUGUUUUCUCUUAUUCUGAAACAAUGUUUCUCUUUUUGCAUAAACAUAAACGAGUGUAAAGAAAACACCAGCAGCCAUAGAAACUGAAAACCAAGGGAAUGGGGGUCCUUGAAGCAAGUAAGUGAGGCCUCCAAAUCUUGAGAUGCAUGAUAAACAAGAGAGUGAAUAGCGUACAAAUCGUGGUCUGAAGACCUCAAGUAGUACAAAGCCAUAUCAUAAUCAAAAUGUGAUAAUGCAGAAAUGGCUUUGUCUAGCUUGUACUUGAAUAGGUUCCAUCUCUGCAGGAACUCAGUCUGCUGAUUCUGCCUAAGAAGCUUUUUCUCUCCACCAUGUGCAGAAAUGGAUUCAAGAACAUCCAAAGCACUUCCAAUAGUGUAAUUAAAUGACGUCAAAAGCACGUUUCUUCUGGCUGCAUCCUUCUGCACAAAAGAAAAUGAAGAAAUGUCGGAGAAGGGUCCAAAUGGAGUCUGUCCAACACUCCAGGUAUAAUCUACCAGCGUACUGUUGUGCCUAGGGCUCCAGACCAAAUGCGUUGGUGACACUCCCCACAUACUCUGCAGAAUGGAACCAACAAGAGGUCUCUCAAGUUGUCGAGUCUGUGUGAACACAUGGCGGCCAUUGCAACUGUAAUCACUCACAGUCUGCGUAUUCUUUGUUCUGACAGCGAUUACCAUAUCUUUAAAUGCAACAGACUGGUGAUACCGAUCAAGCAACAAAAUCGUACUAGCAUCCAAAUCGAACACAUAUACAGGAAGUACUCUACUCCUGAAAUCUUCCUCAGGAAGCCCUGCCAAUCUCCUGAACUCUUCAGAUGAUUCAGAAAUUGUCUGAUGUAACCUUCUGGAGUCCAAGUACUCACUAACAAUCAGAGUGUAAUUAUCAAACAAGUACCUAGAAGUAUACGAAGUAGUUGCCCUCCAAAUAGCAAAAGAACAAAUCGAACACUCUGAUAACUUGACCUCAUAUUUCUUAAAACUCAACCUCUGCUCACCCAAUAGCAACCCUUUAUCAUUAAUCUCGUCAGUAAAAGCUCUCUCUAUUGAUUUCCAGUCUAAUCCAAAAUUAUCCGACGAAGAACCAUAUAUAUGUAUAAACUGAACAGUCAACGAAUUCUCAAAAGGCACUGGAAUUCUCAAUGAGGGCACAAAUAGUACCUGAUAAGCGCUCCAAACCAGUGAUGCCAAGUCUGCCAGCAUCGCCUUCUGCGACUUGGGUUGGCCGUGCAUUGCUGCUAGCGGAUGAAACUCGCCUCUUGGCAAGACCCCAUCACCAGACAACGCCGGCCCGUAGUCCACGGGGCCGGCGCCCAAAUCGAUCCACAAGUAGCGAUCUUCCCCGUCCAGAUAGAGCCCAUGCACUUGGUGACCCCUGGGGACGGAUCCCGGGGGUGUAGCUAUAGGCAUAGGACUUGGACUGAGAGCCCAAAUGGAGAAUAUAAAUGUAAAUUCCGUCGAUAGGUUUUUCGUUUUCGAAGUCUUGCUUUAUGAUUUCAUCGAUCAAGGAGUGGGGACGGAGGCGAAAGGCAGCCGGAUGGAGGAUGGAGUAUUCGAGAGAUGGGUUUUGAGAGCUUCGGAGAGGUGAGAGGAGAGCGAAGAGGAGGAAAGGGAGACUUCUAGGUGGAGGGAAUGUGAGAGAGAGAGUGGUGGGAGGCGUCGGAGGAAAAAGGGGUGAUAACGCGGAAGCGGUCGGAGGAGACAGCGGAGGUAAGGAAGGAGGAAAGGAGGGGAGGGAGGAUGAUGUAAAGGUUGGUCCCACCAGCUUCACGGUAAUCGGGACGAGAGUUGGAGGGAGAGAAGGGAAGCCGGAGUGGGCGGGUUGACAGCGGAGGGGUGAGAGAUGGAUCUCUUGAGGGAAGAGGGAAGCAAGAGGAAAGAGUCGUUGGUGCCUUGUGGGUCCGUCCGGUAUUGUUGAGUCAGGAAGGAAUCUAAGCCCAAGAUUCCGGCGGAAGCAGCUAUGGUGCUGAGGUAUAUGAGGGAUCAAUGCCGUGACCAAUUUUGACCUCAGCACUUAUAUCAGAUGGUUGAAGCCAGGAGUAAACCCUGCAGCUUCUGCUCAAGAAUCAGAGCCAAUCAUACAUCCACAGACUCCACCGUCCCAUGACUUCCGUGCAGGAGAGACCAACCAAUCCUUUAUCUUCCAAAGGUCAUUCAGCACAGGGGACCUUAAUAAGGAAGAAAUAUGUGAACGACAACUACCAGUUUAUUCAUGCAAUAAAUCUUCUUCCCCAACAGCACUUGGCCUCCUACUCCGAUCUUCAAUUUUUCGCGAACUGGUCGCGAAGAAUUCAAUUGUCUCAGACGAAGAAAAUGACAGCGAGAGUGGAAAAGUUCAGCCGCAGGUAGUUAAUGAUGAAUACUUGGCUGAGAUGUUUGAGGACGGAAAUGGAGCUACCCCAUUUGGUGUAACUUCAGAGAGUUACGGCAUUGACUUGGAGGAACCAUUCCGUUUCAACUAUGACUGUCUGGAGAAUCCACUACAAACAAGAUUAUGAUCAAAGCCUCUAAAAACUAGUUGAUCGAACUUUUUCUAUCUGCUUCCUGCGUAAAAUGAGAAUCUUGUAUAAAAGAAAAGAUAACGUUUCUUUUUUUAAUCCUUCCUCCCUCAAAGAUAACGUUUCUUUUUUUAAUCCUUCCUCCCUCCCAUAUUCCCUCCCUAAACCCCUACCGCAAACCUGCCAGGCAGGAGUGGAACUCCUGGCUUGACAGGCGGGAGCAUAGCAACAGCCCAAAAGAGGCUGGCUGUUGGUUAUUAGAUAACGUUUCUUCCUAUUUAUCUGGCAAUAAUAUCCGGUUAUCAAAAGUUGGAUGUGGAGAUGACUUUUAACAUCUAUUCUUCUUUGUAUUGCCAUCAGUCAUACACUCGGACUCUUACCAAGUUCCCUUGGCCUAUUAUGGCCAUGUAGAGUGCUAAAAGACUUCUCCAUCUCAGACCAUGAUUUACACAUAAGUAAAUAUUUAUAAGCUUAAUCCAGGAAAAAACAACAGAGGCCGUCUUUUUAAUGUCUGAAGAGAAAGAAGAAGGUAAAUUGACAAAAGACCGCGCUAGAACUAUAUGUAACUAACACCUCUCCUUAUACUCCCAUAGUCACAAAAGAAUUGAUCUUUUAACUUGCUACUUCCAUGAACAUAUUUCUUGGCGCAAAGCCUUGGGCACCUACUGAUCUCAGAAGAGAGUAUUGCCUAUGCCUCAAGUUCAGACCAGCUACGUCCAGCACUGUUUGAUUAUACAUGAAUUGUCACCUCAUCAAAUCUUUCGGACACAAUAAUAGCCACAUUUUCUUUGCACCUGUCUUACAACCUACCUGGUCUCCUGAACUGCCAAAAUCCACACAUGCCAAGAAUUAAUCAUUCAAAUCUGCAAACCAACAACCUUCAUACCAUGCGAAAAGGUAAAAACUGUUUAUAUAACUUCUGGCUUUGACAAAUCUGCAAACUAAAAGACUUAGCAGAAAGGUAACAACUGUUUAUCU
This 4895-nucleotide long non-coding RNA is filed under the name Coffea arabica (coffee). Its description in RNAcentral is "long non-coding RNA (CARA_LNC004833)". The record is from RNAcentral. Lineage: Eukaryota; Viridiplantae; Streptophyta; Magnoliopsida; Gentianales; Rubiaceae.